Molecule: ribosomal RNA, 619 nt
Filed under: bacterium 'c60-12a (60L1bb)'
Lineage: Bacteria
Description: bacterial SSU rRNA
Rfam family: Bacterial small subunit ribosomal RNA
Source: RNAcentral
CGCUGGCGGCGUGCCUAAUACAUGCAAGUCGAGCGGACCGAAAGGAGAGCUCGCUCUCCUUUCAGUCAGCGGCGGACGGGUGAGUAACACGUGGGUAACCUGCCUGUAAGACCGGGAUAACUCGCGGAAACGCGAGCUAAUACCGGAUAGGUCCCGUGGCCGCAUGGCGACGGGAGGAAAGAUGGCGCGAGCUAUCGCUUACAGAUGGGCCCGCGGCGCAUUAGCUAGUUGGUGGGGUAACGGCCCACCAAGGCGACGAUGCGUAGCCGACCUGAGAGGGUGAUCGGCCACAUUGGGACUGAGACACGGCCCAAACUCCUACGGGAGGCAGCAGUAGGGAAUCUUCCGCAAUGGGCGAAAGCCUGACGGAGCAACGCCGCGUGAGCGAAGAAGGCCUUCGGGUCGUAAAGCUCUGUUGUCAGGGAAGAACAAGUACCGGAGUAACUGCCGGUACCUUGACGGUACCUGACCAGAAAGCCCCGGCUAACUACGUGCCAGCAGCCGCGGUAAUACGUAGGGGGCGAGCGUUGUCCGGAAUCAUUGGGCGUAAAGCGCGCGCAGGCGGUCCCUUAAGUCUGAUGUGAAAUCUUGCGGCUCAACCGCAAGAGGUCAUUGGAAA